This 269-nucleotide long non-coding RNA is filed under the name Homo sapiens (human). RNAcentral's name for it is "HSALNT0247306". Lineage: Eukaryota; Metazoa; Chordata; Mammalia; Primates; Hominidae. The record is from RNAcentral.
AGUUAAGACAAUGAUGUUACAGUGCUUCCUAUCAAAGAAAACUGAGGUUACUAAUUAUUUGUAUCUUGUUGCAGAAAAAUUGGACCAGGCUUUCUGAAGAGACAAUCUGCCUCAACCAGGUAAUCAAGUUGAAAAAUACUGCACACAGUGACCCACUCUCAGAAACUUGCAAUGGGCAUGAACUUAUUAAAGACUCUGAUGAGAGACACCGAAGAAGAUCCAUUUUAACUAACCCUUGACAGAAGGAUGCAAAGUAAAUGAAGAAAUGA